GAUGAACGCUGGCGGCGUGCUUAACACAUGCAAGUCGAACGAAGCACUUUGAUCGAUUUCUUCGGAAUGAAGUUUUAGUGACUGAGUGGCGGACGGGUGAGUAACGCGUGGGUAACCUGCCUCACACAGGGGGAUAACAGUUGGAAACGGCUGCUAAUACCGCAUAAGCGCACAGUACCGCAUGGUACGGUGUGAAAAACUCCGGUGGUGUGAGAUGGACCCGCGUCUGAUUAGCUAGUUGGCAGGGCAGCGGCCUACCAAGGCGACGAUCAGUAGCCGACCUGGGAGGGUGACCGGCCACAUUGGGACUGAGAUACGGCCCAAACUCCUACGGGAGGCAGCAGUGGGGAAUAUUGCACAAUGGGGGAAACCCUGAUGCAGCGACGCCGCGUGAGCGAAGAAGUAUUUCGGUAUGUAAAGCUCUAUCAGCAGGGAAGAAAAAAUGACGGUACCUGACUAAGAAGCACCGGCUAAAUACGUGCCAGCCGCCGCCGUAA
This 497-nucleotide ribosomal RNA is filed under the name uncultured bacterium. RNAcentral's name for it is "partial 16S ribosomal RNA". It matches the Rfam family "Bacterial small subunit ribosomal RNA", at positions 28 to 523 of the family's 1533-position model. The record is from RNAcentral.